UAUUUUAAUAGCUUAUAUUUAAAGUUUAAUAUUGAAGAUAUUAAGAAAGCUUUUUUUGCUUUAAAAUAU
RNAcentral lists this transfer RNA (69 nucleotides) under Cautires sp. UPOL VK0320. RNAcentral's name for it is "tRNA-Phe". The record is from RNAcentral. Lineage: Eukaryota; Metazoa; Arthropoda; Insecta; Coleoptera; Lycidae.